UCCAUCCAUCCAUCCAUCCAUCCAAAUCUCCUCUCCUCUCCUCUCCUCUCCUCUCCUCUCCUCUCCUCUCCUCUCCUCUCCUCUCCUCUCCUCUCCUCUCCUCUCCUCUCCUCUCCUCUCCUCUCCUCCAGAAUGUGCACCUGAUUUAAGUGACCCCACGUCCGUUGCCACGUACACAGCUGAAGAAAUAGGACUAGCAAAAGAUGGAGUCGUUCGAUAUUUUUCAGAUGAGGAUGGUACGAAAAAUCACACACACCCAACAAGUUUUUGACCAAGAAUUUGUCAACAUUUAAGUACAAAUCUGUUAUAAUUCUGACUGUCUGAUGUUUUCCUACAUCUGCAGGCAAUUUCUACCUUAGUUACAUUGACCCUGUGGUCAUUGGAAGACAAGCUUUCCACACUGCUGAUGACUUCAUGAAAGACGUAGGGGGCACCGUCAGGGACACCACAUGUGCUAUGAUAGAUAGUGUAGUUGAUGCUAUAAAGGAUAUAAAUACAGGAGAAACGGAUCUUAGCUACAUAGACCCUGUAGUCAUAGGCAGAAAUGUCUUCAGCGUCACUAAUGAGUUCAUGUGUGGAGUUGGAGGCUCCAUCCAGCAUGUGCUCUGUGCCAUCAUAGACACUAUUUUAGAUGUAGGAAAAGGAAUUUACCAAGGAACCACGGAUGUCAGCUUCGUUGAUCCGGUGGUAAUUGGCAGAAAAACUUUUCAUAUCAGUAAUGACGCUGUAGGAGGAAUAGCGGGUCACAUCCAGGACGUGCUCUGUGCCAUCAUAGACACUAUACUGGACAUUGUUAAAGGAACCACUGACGUUAGUUUCAUUGACCCCGUGGUUAUUGGCAGAAAUGUCUUCAAUGUUAUUAAUGACUUUGUGAGUGGAAUAGCAGGAUACAUUCAGGAUGUACUUUGUGCAAUCUUGGAUGUAUUCCUAAACACUGUAAAAGAUAUCAUGGACGCUGUGGGAUUCAGCCCCAUGUCAAUUCUGAAGACAACAGCAGAAAUCACCACAGAACAGAUAAACAUGCUGACAGGCUACCUCUCCACAACACUGAUGGGCGAACAAGGUAUCAUGCCUGAGGUGUCAGUUGAUCCCAUGAAAGUGGUCGAAGACGCUGUGUUGGAGUUCAGCGACAAGAAAGAUUUGUUCGUGGCUUACAUGUCGAGCAUGGUUGUUGGUGAUCAAGGUGAACCUGUUACUACACCAGAUGUCAGUGUAGUAACUGAAAAAGAUGACUCUGCAGCGCCAUCAUCUGAUAUAAAUCUGGUGCAAAGGAAAGGUGAAUUCCUUCCACCUAUUGAAAAAG
RNAcentral lists this long non-coding RNA (1303 nucleotides) under Sphaeramia orbicularis (orbiculate cardinalfish). Its description in RNAcentral is "lncRNA (ENSSORG00005006766.1)". The record is from RNAcentral. Lineage: Eukaryota; Metazoa; Chordata; Actinopteri; Kurtiformes; Apogonidae.